AUCUCUUCUCAGCCUUUUGGCUAAGAUCAAGAGUUGUGUCUGUUCUUAACAAAUAAAUAAAUAAAUCUGUUUUAAAGAUUGCUACCCAGA
This is a small nuclear RNA of Oryctolagus cuniculus (rabbit), 90 nucleotides long. Its record names the gene U2. It matches the Rfam family "U2 spliceosomal RNA". Rfam says of the family: U2 is a small nuclear RNA (snRNA) component of the spliceosome (involved in pre-mRNA splicing). Complementary binding between U2 snRNA (in an area lying towards the 5' end but 3' to hairpin I) and the branchpoint sequence (BPS) of the intron results the bulging out of an unpaired adenosine, on the BPS, which initiates a nucleophilic attack at the intronic 5' splice site, thus starting the first of two transesterification reactions that mediate splicing. The record is from Ensembl. Lineage: Eukaryota; Metazoa; Chordata; Mammalia; Lagomorpha; Leporidae.